This 72-nucleotide transfer RNA is filed under the name Camelus bactrianus (Bactrian camel). It matches the Rfam family "tRNA". From Rfam's summary of the family: Transfer RNA (tRNA) molecules are approximately 80 nucleotides in length. Their secondary structure includes four short double-helical elements and three loops (D, anti-codon, and T loops). The record is from Rfam by way of RNAcentral. Lineage: Eukaryota; Metazoa; Chordata; Mammalia; Artiodactyla; Camelidae. RNAcentral also lists the same sequence under 3 other names.
GAGGGUAUAGCUCAGUGGUAGAGCACAUGCUUAGCAUGCACAAGGUCCUGGGUUCAAUCCCCAGUACCAACU